AAACGCUUGAAACCAGUCAUGUAGUUGGAAAAUCAGUGUUCAAUUGGGGGGAAUGAGGGAGUUGUAGACCGCAAGGCUACUCUUUUUUAUAUCUCUUUUGUUGGGCAUGCACUUUUUCUUCCGCAGGUCAACAUCAGUUUCUUUUGCUGGACAAAACUCUGGAGAAGGUAGCAGCUUAGGCUGUGUUAUAGCUCUGGAGCGAUACAGUGGAGGGGACUGAGGUUUUCGCAGCAUGUGCUCUCGGGCAAGGCCAAUUGGGUGCUAUGAGAUCGUUCGGGGUACAAUACAUGUAUUUUGCUUCGUGUCCUUUUCAUACUCGUCUAAUUGAGCUCUUCCAUGCUUAGGAUGUUGACUUAAUGGUUUUAAUCGA
This 370-nucleotide ribosomal RNA is filed under the name Mortierella sp. Its description in RNAcentral is "LSU rRNA". Lineage: Eukaryota; Fungi; Mortierellomycota; Mortierellomycetes; Mortierellales; Mortierellaceae. The record is from RNAcentral.